RNAcentral lists this long non-coding RNA (352 nucleotides) under Bos taurus (domestic cattle). RNAcentral describes it as "long non-coding RNA NONBTAT021638". Lineage: Eukaryota; Metazoa; Chordata; Mammalia; Artiodactyla; Bovidae. The record is from RNAcentral.
GCCAGUUCUCAGAACACCAAGAGUUAGGAGGUGGCUUUAAAAAUUUACUAAAUUUACCACAUUAUGAGGAAUCACUGUCAUUUGGACAAGUCAGGUCACGUUGAGACUUAGAAAGCGCCCUUUGCUGUGUUACUCUGUUUUUGAAUCAGGGGAGGAAUUCUUUGCAAAGCGUGCUGUUAAGUCAGCUCUGCCUUCUCUGUUCAUCACCCCUUUCCACAUUCAUUAAAAAACAAUUAUGACUAAUUAACCACUUGAGAUUCUGUUCCCGUUGAGGCCAUCAUCAUCACCCCCUGCCCUGUCAUGUCCUCACGUGUGGGUAGAGCCACUGGAGGUCAAAGGUGGUUGCUCGUGG